Molecule: ribosomal RNA, 1362 nt
Filed under: Escherichia coli
Lineage: Bacteria; Pseudomonadati; Pseudomonadota; Gammaproteobacteria; Enterobacterales; Enterobacteriaceae
Description: partial 23S ribosomal RNA
Rfam family: Bacterial large subunit ribosomal RNA
Source: RNAcentral
GGGUUGUGAGGUUAAGCGACUAAGCGUACACGGUGGAUGCCCUGGCAGUCAGAGGCGAUGAAGGACGUGCUAAUCUGCGAUAAGCGUCGGUAAGGUGAUAUGAACCGUUAUAACCGGCGAUUUCCGAAUGGGGAAACCCAGUGUGAUUCGUCACACUAUCAUUAACUGAAUCCAUAGGUUAAUGAGGCGAACCGGGGGAACUGAAACAUCUAAGUACCCCGAGGAAAAGAAAUCAACCGAGAUUCCCCCAGUAGCGGCGAGCGAACGGGGAGCAGCCCAGAGCCUGAAUCAGUGUGUGUGUUAGUGGAAGCGUCUGGAAAGGCGCGCGAUACAGGGUGACAGCCCCGUACACAAAAAUGCACAUGCUGUGAGCUCGAUGAGUAGGGCGGGACACGUGGUAUCCUGUCUGAAUAUGGGGGGACCAUCCUCCAAGGCUAAAUACUCCUGACUGACCGAUAGUGAACCAGUACCGUGAGGGAAAGGCGAAAAGAACCCCGGCGAGGGGAGUGAAAAAGAACCUGAAACCGUGUACGUACAAGCAGUGGGAGCACGCUUAGGCGUGUGACUGCGUACCUUUUGUAUAAUGGGUCAGCGACUUAUAUUCUGUAGCAAGGUUAACCGAAUAGGGGAGCCGAAGGGAAACCGAGUCUUAACUGGGCGUUAAGUUGCAGGGUAUAGACCCGAAACCCGGUGAUCUAGCCAUGGGCAGGUUGAAGGUUGGGUAACACUAACUGGAGGACCGAACCGACUAAUGUUGAAAAAUUAGCGGAUGACUUGUGGCUGGGGGUGAAAGGCCAAUCAAACCGGGAGAUAGCUGGUUCUCCCCGAAAGCUAUUUAGGUAGCGCCUCGUGAAUUCAUCUCCGGGGGUAGAGCACUGUUUCGGCAAGGGGGUCAUCCCGACUUACCAACCCGAUGCAAACUGCGAAUACCGGAGAAUGUUAUCACGGGAGACACACGGCGGGUGCUAACGUCCGUCGUGAAGAGGGAAACAACCCAGACCGCCAGCUAAGGUCCCAAAGUCAUGGUUAAGUGGGAAACGAUGUGGGAAGGCCCAGACAGCCAGGAUGUUGGCUUAGAAGCAGCCAUCAUUUAAAGAAAGCGUAAUAGCUCACUGGUCGAGUCGGCCUGCGCGGAAGAUGUAACGGGGCUAAACCAUGCACCGAAGCUGCGGCAGCGACGCUGAUGCGUUGUUGGGUAGGGGAGCGUUCUGUAAGCCUGCGAAGGUGUGCUGUGAGGCAUGCUGGAGGUAUCAGAAGUGCGAAUGCUGACAUAAGUAACGAUAAAGCGGGUGAAAAGCCCGCUCGCCGGAAGACCAAGGGUUCCUGUCCAACGUUAAUCGGGGCAGGGUGAGUCGACCCCUA